This 540-nucleotide ribosomal RNA is filed under the name Triticum aestivum (bread wheat). Its description in RNAcentral is "partial small subunit ribosomal RNA". Lineage: Eukaryota; Viridiplantae; Streptophyta; Magnoliopsida; Poales; Poaceae. The record is from RNAcentral.
AUGAGGUUGAAGUAUUCACUUAGAUGCUUGCAGUUUCUUCUUCAUCAAGGAUUGGCAUUUCGUGGGCAUGAUGAAAGUGAAGAGUCUAGCAAUAGAGGAAACUUCCUUGAGCUAUUGAAGUGGCUUGCAGCAAAUAGUGAGGAGGUGAAUAAGUAUGUUUUGAAGAAUGCACCAGGUAACUGCCAAUUGACAUCUCAUCAGAUACAACAUCAGAUUAUUCAAUGUUGUGCACAACUUACUAGAAAGCAAAUUAUUGAUGAACUUGGUGAUGAGCACUAUGCUAUUCUAGCUGAUGAGUCUAGUGAUGUAUCACAUAAAGAACAACUAGCUUUAUGCUUGCGUUUUGUUGAUAAAGUAGGGAGGCCGUCUGAGCACUUUCUUGGAGUUGUUCAUGUAAGUGACACUACUUCAUUAUCACUUAAGGAAGCAAUUGAAACUUUACUUACUGAUCAUGGUUUGACUAUAACACAAAUUCGUGGGAUGCAUUUUUGCAAAAGGUCACACUAUUCUGUAACAAGCAUGGCAUUCAAGUUCAUAUAA